UACAGAGGGGGCAAGCGUUGUUCGGAAUUACUGGGCGUAAAGGGCGCGUAGGCGGCCUUCUAAGUCAGACGUGAAAUCCCUCGGCUCAACCGGGGAACUGCGUCUGAGACUGGAAGGCUUGAAUCCGGGAGAGGGAUGUGGAAUUCCAGGUGUAGCGGUGAAAUGCGUAGAUAUCUGGAGGAAUACCGGUGGCGAAGGCGGCAUCCUGGACCGGCAUUGACGCUGAGGAGCGAAAGCCAGGGGAGCAAACGGG
This 253-nucleotide ribosomal RNA is filed under the name uncultured bacterium. Its description in RNAcentral is "partial 16S ribosomal RNA". It matches the Rfam family "Bacterial small subunit ribosomal RNA", at positions 524 to 776 of the family's 1533-position model. The record is from RNAcentral.